RNAcentral lists this long non-coding RNA (7866 nucleotides) under Triticum aestivum (bread wheat). RNAcentral describes it as "long non-coding RNA (TAES_LNC024025)". Lineage: Eukaryota; Viridiplantae; Streptophyta; Magnoliopsida; Poales; Poaceae. The record is from RNAcentral.
UUGGAGAUCAAACAAGCCCAACAAUACCUUUGAAGGUUUUCCCCACUUGAAGCAAAAAUCCAAAAAUCACAAAAGGUAAAACUUGACAAAAAUGGAAAAGUUUUAUUUCCUGGCAACAUUUUAAUAAAUAAAACAAAGUCAAAAUUUUGGGUGUUACAACACUACCCCCCUUAAGAAAAAUCUCGUCCUCGAGAUUUGUUAAAAGUUGUCUUGAACAAGAAUUGUUUUGAAAUAAAUUUGUUUUUAUCAAAGAAAUCCUCCAAUUGCAUAAAAACAAACGGCUACAGUGAGAGGGCAAUAAGUGGUGCAAAACCACAGUGUGGUACACUGGUGUAGUGUGGAAAAAUCCACGGUUAGGGAAAACGAGACAUUUCUACGAGGAUACAGUAAUUUAGAAUAAAUUCUAAAUUACUAAAAUACGCUGGUCGCACCCGAUAGCACAGUGCUCUCUCUGGCUGACAGGUGGGCCCAGGGCCCACUGUCGGCCUCUUCUCCUACCUCUGGCUCUCUCUCUCUCUCGCGUUCUCCCACGCUUCUUCCACCGGCGGCGCCUAGCUCGUAGAGCAUCGAGGCCGUACCGCGGUAGUGCGCGGCGUGCUAGCUACUGGUGCAGCGUGCACUCACCUCGCGGGCCAGGGCGCUGUCGGCACUGCUCGCGGACUCGCCUCCGAACACCGGCGGCCGAGCGACGGGUGGCGCUGGUGGACCUCGCCCACCGUACACCGAUCUCGGGCUAUAAAACGCUCGCGGUGCUCCUCUCUUCUCCCUCACACCCGGCCUCGCUUCCACUUCUCCAUCCUUCUCCUCCAUAGCUGCUGGCAGGAGCUCGAGCCGAGGCUCUAAUGGCGGAGGCAAUGCCGGACUGGUAUGUGGUCCUGGUGUGUGGAGGCUUGGCGGUGCUGCUGGGGUUCUCCGUGCUGCUGUGUGCGAUGAUCCUGGAUGAUCGUCAUGAUGCUGCCGCACGAGUGUUAGCUCUUCGCGGUGGCGGCGAUCACGUGGAUUAGGCGCGGCACCGGGGCUGACUGCCGUCGGGGUGCCGGGGCAGCUCGCGCUCGAAUGGACACACAGAAAUCCCUCUUACGGAGACUGUGGUGUCCUCGAGUGCGGUUAGAUAGGUGCAAAAAUGUGCUCAGAGAUUUGUAACAGUGCUCAAGGUCGAGUGGUUGCUGCAUGAGAGUUUGCUGUAACGAUGCUGCGCGAAUAAAGAUCUAUGUCGUGAAAAUGCAUAUAUACGCAGCAAUAACUCGGGGAAAAGAAAUCUCCUCGAAAACAUGUUGUGAGAGGAAAAAUUAAUUUAAACAAAACUAACGGCAGUAAAACUGCUCACAAAACAGGAACUAAAGAAAAAUUCGGAUCCGUUGCACAAAGGUUUUACGAACAUGCUGCAACCCAUAAACACAAGUACUGAACGAUAAAUACGCCGGAGGCGUUUACAUGGAAAACGGUAAAAAGACAGGGUCCUGAGAAAAUGCCUCUGGCACUGGGGCACACUCCUCUUCUAUCGGGGGAAGCGGGUUGACCAGCCGAUGAAUGCGCCCUUCUUGGUCAGGCCUCAGUGGUCUGCCAAUAGCGAUCCGAGGAUUUAAAUCAGCGAGGCUCUGGAGAUAACCCAUUACUCGCUGAGUUAAACGCUCCUGAGCGAUGACGUACUGGGCAAGGUUGGCCAGUACUGGAUCUCUCUCAAUGCACCCACCGGGAAAAGAUGCAACUUCUCCGGGUGCUGCCCGACUCGGAAAAUAAUAGUAUCCUCGCUCGCUGGCAUAGGGUACCGCGAAUCGAAGGCGGGUGAGUGCCUCGUACGCAGCAGCUUCUAUGGCCAUAUGCGGAGUCGGCAUGGAUUUCCCCACGAAGGAGACUUCCGUGGGAUCUUGGUUUGGGUAGGCGGGAGGGAUGUGCACCACUGCCCAAUAUUUCGAGGUGGAUUGAGUGAUCCUCGAUUUGAGCAACUCGUACUGGGGUGGACGGCUGGCGCUCAUAGUACUGCAGGUAAAGUCCCACAAUAAUUUGACAAAACUGCCGGGGGUUGCGUCUGGGGUCCUCAGAUAAAUGCUGGGGGUCGACAUGGCAAGGAAUGGCUGUGAGCGCUGCGCACAAAGGUGAGGGGUGCUCGGCAAGGUCACGAAGUGGCCUUUAUAUAGCACCGGGGCUGGGAUAUCUACCAGGGUGAAAGGUAACUGGCUGACGAUCCUGUACUCGGGUCAAAGCCACAGAUAUACACAUCACAUAAAUGGGACGCAUUACUGUGGGUGCCGACGGGGUUGGUCUAGGUAGCUGCGCCCGAAAAAAAUGCAACUAUACGCCAACGUACACAUGCAUAGCUACUACUCCAAAAAUAAGAGCGCUCAAACAGACAGCAUGCAACAAAAGCGAUACAAGGCCACACAUUACAAAGCGUAGGAAAACUAAGGCUCGAUACAACUUUGAGCGACUUAGUCUACUUUGUUAAUGUCUAAGUGGGCUGGCCUUGCGGACGCCGAUGCUUCUCCACGGUUCUCACCGUCGGGAUUUGCUGGUUGAGGCUGAGGUGCUGCAGGGUCGGGGAAAUGGUGAUGGCCAUUCCGGGGGUUGUUGGCCCAAACCCCGUUGGAAUGGGUUUCCAAAAGGCGACGAAGCGCUUCUGGGGUCACCAAAGUGCUCUGGUUGAUGGUUGGCGCAGACCUCAAGGGAUCGAUCGGGUGUCCGAACAGCACGACUGGGUUGUCGGUGUCGGGCUCCGCUUCUCUUCUCGCCGGGGCUCGGCGAACCAGCUCUCCACGAGCUGCGAUCAGAUCGAGAGUGACCUAAUCGAACAGUUGCUCUAGUGCGCUUACAUAGCGCACCAGAUGCAACAGCGCAGGAUCUGUCUCGUGGUCUCCGUUGGCAACCUGGGGCGGCCUACCAUACCCGUCACGACUGGGGUAGUAGUAGAACGAGCGACAGUUAACUCUGGGCGACAGGUGCCGGAGUUGAACUAUAGCUUCGCGGGCUGCUAGUUGGAUGGCUUGUGGCUCAAAGGAAGUUGUCCUUCCAGUGAACCUAUAGGGGCGCUCUGGCGACAGACCCCUACCGUAGAUGUGCACAGUGGCCUAGUACUGACGGCUUUCACCGUACAUGGGUCCUUGGUACACAACAUACUCAGGAGGCUCCUCUAACGCAUAGGCACGGCGGGUGAGGUUUGCGAGCACGGUCACAAAACCUCAAAGGUUGGUCGCUGUGGUCUCAUUGUGAACAAUGGGGCCAGGCAUCGUGGCUCGGUUUGGGGGAAAGAGGCUGUGUUGUGAUUGAGGCUAGCGUGCCCUUUUUAUAGGGAAAGGGGACGGACUCUUCCUCCGCACGCUUGCGAUAGAGAUGGGUUGGGUGUCGGUCACAGGCGCGUGAUCGAUGGGCUAGGCUGAUAGGUUGGGCACCGUCCGCCGAAAAGGGCGUCGGGUCACUGUGGGGCUACCUUACGCGGGAAGCUUGACCGGGGUUAAGCUAAGGUCUGAUGGUUUGGGUUAACCUAGGUUUAUUGACCUGGCUAAGAUAGGAUUAGCCAAUGGUCAGCCUGGCUCUGAUACCAAGUCUGUCGCGACCGGAUUUUUGGGAUAUAAAUUCCCAGAAAAAUGGCCUGUGCGCUCAUCAGCCCCAGGAUUACUGUUAGCUGAUGAGGUACCGACUUGAUACAAGAAUUCCAAGCAAGUACAAAAUAAUGUAGUACAAGACCAUUUAGGCCUAGGAGUACAACAUUUGGUUUCUAAUGGUUGAGGGCGGAAGCGGUUGGAUACAUCUGCGUCUAUGGAACUCCAUUUCCCACAAGAACAGCUGACCAGGAUAACUCCUAUCUUCGCGAGGCUGCAAACGUCAACGCGUAGGUUCCAAGGUUGACACCGCGAUGCUUAUCUCCAAGCAAGGAAUCUGGCCAAGACAAUAGCCAGGGACAAGCCAGUGAGUACGUUUGAAUGUACUCGCAAACAUAAAGAACACGGGUAUAAUAAAUCAAAAACAUGCUCUGGAUUAUUAUGUGAUCACAUGUCUGUCGCGAAAAAAUACGAAAGACCAAGAUGCACACAUAUGGUUAAAAAAAUAUACCAAAACAAAAUACUGGGUGCCAAACGAGUGUCUGAAUGACUCCUCGAGCGGAAAAUGCAGAAUAGUAAUACUGGUGCCAAACGAGUGUCUAAAAGACUCCUCGAGCGGAAAAUGCGGAAUAGUAAUACUGGUGCCAAACGAGUGUCUGAAAGACUCCUCGAGCGGAAAAUGCGGAAUAAUAAUACAGGUGCCAAACGAGUGUCUGAAUGACUCCUCGAACGGAAAAUGUAGAAAUAAUAAUGCCGCAGUCGGGCGUCGGGGCGACACCACAUAAAGGGCUUAUAAAAGAUAAAUGAACAACAAGCAUGCCGCAGUCGGGCGUCUGAGCGAUGCCACGGAAAGGGCUUAUAAGAGAAUAAUCACAGUGAAUAUCCAGGAGGUAGAACCCUCCCAGGGAUACUCAAUAAUAUACGUAGUAUAAAUGGUUAGUCCAAAAAUAAAUAAGGAUCAAAAUCCACAUGUGCCACAAUCAUAAACAACAUAUAGUACAGUCGUUUCUCCAUCCGAAAACCGAUAAUUUAGUCAAGCCGUAUCUCCAUCCGAAUACCGUUGCUAUGAUCUAGUUAUUCGUGUCUCCAUCCGAAUACCGUUACAGAGUUCUAGUCAAAUCGUUCUCCAUCCGAAUACUGUUACCAGAUUUCUAUUCAGAUAGUGGUUCUUACUCAAGGACAUGACUAUCCAACGGGAUAUAUCCUCUGCAGAGGGAGUACCAUUUUCCACGAGUAACGGGAUUACUCAGUCCCUUGGGACUAAUUCCGUCUACGGUCUUUUGAUUGAAAACACGCCUGACCUGCACACACCAGCUUAACUCACCAGUGUCUGGAAUCACCCACGACACCUGCCAAGCAAAACUCUAAGUGGGGAGGCUACAACCUCGACGUAGCAUGGGAUCCCAAAAUUUAUACCGCGCGCAAACUGGGGAAGCUAUCCCCUUAGGCUACAACCGAAACACCCAUGCCCCCGGACCGGAUGACUGGCUUUAAUCCAUGGCCAUGGGACCCUCAUCACGGCCUCUCUGUACGGUGGGUGCUUUGGAAAGGGGUUGACAACCUACUGAACCAUACCCUGUCCUCUGCAGGGACAAAUGGUGGUACCGACAAAGAAGGAAGCUAUUGAUCAAGACUCGGUCUACAACCGACUCAGGUGGUCCAAGUAUCCACCAACAAUAUUACCACUAGUGAAAUAAAUCACCACUCCUCGAGCCUCACCAUGCUAUGCCGGGCAUACUCGUCUCGACGAGGGAUUAGGGACAAGCUCGUGUCUACCCAAGACCACGACUUUCCCGGCUUCCUACCGGCGUGCAAGAGAAGCUCACGAGGAUGAUCCAAAUCAUCAGUGUAUCCAUUGCUGGCCACAAACAACUCCAAAGUGUACUCAUACACGAGACCAUAACGAUACAUAAACUAUCACAUACGCCAAGUCAAAAGGUGUUGUGAUCGCAUCCAAACACCACAACAAAAUAUUAUGCCAGAGUUCAGAAAUGCUUGCCUUCAAGAGUAUGCAAAGGAUGCACUUAUUGGAAGCUUUCCUUUUCCUCCAUAAAUCCUAUUUUGCAAAAUACACAAAUACAAAUAUUUCAAACACAGUACCAAAAGUUGUCUCAAAUAUUUUUGAACUAAAUCUUAAAAUAAACUAGAUGAAAUUUGAGAGAGGUAGGAAAAAGAAUCAACUCAUUUGGAGUUUUAUUUUAAAAGUUAUAGCCAGUCAAAGUUUGGUCAAACUCUGUUUUUAUAAAAAUCAGAAAAAGGAAAACGCUUCGAGGGAAAUACGCUUACGCAGCAGAGAAACGCACGCGGGGUUUUGCGCCACCACUUAACCAGAGAGGGUGGACGCGCGGGCCACUGACAGUGGGUCCAGAGGGCCCACUGGUCAGGUUUGACCGUUUCUUCCCUCCUUCUCCUCUCUUCUACCCGACGGGAGUGGGGCUCCGGCGAUCGCCGUCGACGAACGGCAGCGCCUCACGGGCAUCCAAUGGCGGGGAUGGAACGGCUAGACUGAGGCGGUCCUUAGGGUGGCUGAUGGGUCGUCGGAGGUGGAGGGAAUCGCCGGCGGCGAGCUCCGCGGCGGAGAAAAGCUACGGUGGUGAAGUGACUUUGGUGCUCCGGUGGUCUCCGACCGGAGUUGGGUAGCUGGGCAGCUGCGCAAGACUACGGGGAAGUUCUUGGUGGCGCUGGAUUGGCGAAAGGGUGGCCGGCUGCGACGAAUCGCACCGGAGCUUGGCGGCGGCCGAGCUGGCCGGAGUUGGGGAGGACGGUCCUCUCCGGUCAAUCUACUGCUAGGGGAGCUCUACGGGGAGGGCCUGAUGUCGCCUGAGUGCUCGGAGGGGCUCGGGGUUCCCUUUAUAUAGACGCUCGAGGUUGGGCCGUGGCGGCAGGAGAUAGGAUCGCCGGCGACAGCCGUUGCUGUAGCUGCAGGGCAUCGUGGCGGCGACGAACGCGUUCCGACGAGCGGGAGGAUAAGCACGGCCUGUGCUCUGAGGCAGCUGGUGUGCGCUGGUGGUUUGGGCGGCGCCGUCCGUGGCGGAAUCCGCUGCCGACGCGGCGUGCUGCCAAGGCGGCGCUGCAGGGUGCUAGGGCGAGCUUGGAGGGUACUGGAGAGAGGGCGAGUGCGUGGCGGGGUUCGGCAGGUGGGCAGGGGUCAGAGAUGGGACGCGACGAGGGCGGCAGUGCGGCGUGUCGGCGCAGUGUGCGCGUGCAAAACGUGCGCUCUGGGCGCGCCCAGAGCACGCACGGUACCUGCUCGACGAAAUGCCAGCGCGCUCUAGAGCUCGAGGGUGGAGCUGGCACUGCACAGGAUGGAAGUAGGGGUAGCAAAGCACUCAGUGGACAAGGUGGAUAGGUCAGGGGUUCCAGUCCACAAUGCAAACCAGAGAGCUUGCCAAAAAUGACUGUGCACACUAGGUGUUCGACAGAAAGCCAAGUGCACUUAGGCAACUCUUGGAGUGGCCAAAAAUCUCCAGAUCAGUGUCUCCUUAGAUGCAGGAGAUGGUGGUAAGGUUAGUUUGGCAAAGACAGAAAGUUGAUAGUGCAAGUUUUGCAAAACUCCAGUUUUGGGCAGAAAGAAAAAAGGUUUAGAACAUGCACUUCAAAACCUCCAAUGAGCCCAAUCUCCUGGACUUAAGAGUUUGGUAGGGAGGGCUACAAGUAGGAAAAAGCUCAGGGUUACUAGAGCAAAGAAAAACAAGGUUGCAGUACAAAUCACCAAUUGGGUCAGAAUGCAAAAGAGGUUGAUCCACUCAAAUUUUUCAAAGAACAUCACUUGGUUUUUGCUUGAAGAUGAAUGGUAUGCCUCUACUGACAUCUCCAAACACUUGGAAGAAUUUUUAUAGAAAUAUUUAGAUGGGUUGUAGUGCAAAAGUGCCUACUGGACUAGAUUGGAAAAGUUGGUGUAGAGCUCAAAAUCUCCAAUGGCCUAAAGGUAUUUUUGCAUAAAAGUGAUUUGGAACCAUCACAUGACACCCCUAAAUUUUGGUGGAAUUUUUGAAUGCAUUUGUAAAAUGGUUGUAGUGCAAAACAGGCUCCAAAUGCAAAAGGAAUCAUUUUAAGGAAAUAAAGCUUUGAGGAAAAUAAAUCUUGCAACAUUUGAAUCCACUGAUAAAUAAUUGUUUUAUUUUGGAGAUCAAACAAGCCCAACAAUACCUUUGAAGGUUUUCCCCACUUGAAGCAAAAAUCCAAAAAUCACAAAAGGUAAAACUUGACAAAAAUGGAAAAGUUUUAUUUCCUGGCAACAUUUUAAUAAAUAAAACAAAGUCAAAAUUUUGGGUGUUACACGGAUCCUCAUCCGGUACGGUGGAUGACGGACAUUGAGGUGUUGCUGUGG